GGAGAAGAAAGAAUUCCAUAGUAAUAAGCCUGAAGUGAGUAACAAGAUAAGCUUGCUAUUCCUACUGUCAUCAACAAACAUUUUUAAAUCAAAGUUUGGAUCUCCAGAGUGAGGAGGACAUGGGGAUCAGUGAAUGAAACUGUCAAAAUACUGAAAAACAGAUAGAUGACUACGAACUUAAUCAACGUUGCCUUGAAGCAGAAGU
Nothoprocta perdicaria is the source of this 205-nucleotide long non-coding RNA. RefSeq lists it as uncharacterized. The transcript is spliced from 3 exons. Lineage: Eukaryota; Metazoa; Chordata; Aves; Tinamiformes; Tinamidae. The record is from RefSeq and is a predicted model, not a curated record.